RNAcentral lists this transfer RNA (72 nucleotides) under Cryptotermes secundus. Its description in RNAcentral is "tRNA-Thr (CGT) (tRNA-Thr-CGT-2-1)". It matches the Rfam family "tRNA". Rfam says of the family: Transfer RNA (tRNA) molecules are approximately 80 nucleotides in length. Their secondary structure includes four short double-helical elements and three loops (D, anti-codon, and T loops). Lineage: Eukaryota; Metazoa; Arthropoda; Insecta; Blattodea; Kalotermitidae. The record is from Rfam by way of RNAcentral.
GCCUCUUUAGCUCAGUGGUAGAGCACUGGUCUCGUAAACCAGGGGUCGUGACUUCAAACCUCACAGGAGGCA